CCACUGAUCCUCUUAUAAACAGAUUACUUAGAUAUUUAUUUUUGAUGAAAUCAAACAAUUUGAUCACAUCGAAUAUUCCAACUUUGAGAUGCUUGUUUUAAUCUAUUGUAGCUUGCUUAUCUUGUGAUCUCCAUCACUAGAAGUGAAAUCCAAAAUGCUGCCCCAUAUAGAUAUCUUUCUCAAGAUAUUCAUUCAAGGAGGCACUUUUCACAUCUAUUACCAAAUUCAUAAUCAUGGUGUACUGCAAAAUUAAAUAGUGUUUGGAUGGAUUUUAGCAUCGCUACAGGCCAAAAAUCUUCUGAUAGUCGCAUUGACUAUAUUUUUUUGCCAUAAACCUCGCUGAU
RNAcentral lists this long non-coding RNA (344 nucleotides) under Elaeis guineensis (African oil palm). RNAcentral's name for it is "long non-coding RNA (EGUI_LNC051268)". The record is from RNAcentral. Lineage: Eukaryota; Viridiplantae; Streptophyta; Magnoliopsida; Arecales; Arecaceae.